RNAcentral lists this ribosomal RNA (301 nucleotides) under uncultured bacterium. Its description in RNAcentral is "partial 16S ribosomal RNA". It matches the Rfam family "Bacterial small subunit ribosomal RNA", at positions 509 to 807 of the family's 1533-position model. The record is from RNAcentral.
CAGUCGCCGCGGUAAAACGGAGGGUGCAAGCGUUAAUCGGAAUUACUGGGCGUAAAGCGUGCGUAGGCGGUUCGUUAAGUCUGUUGUGAAAGCCCCGGGCUCAACCUGGGAAUGGCAAUGGAUACUGGCGAGCUAGAGUGUGUCAGAGGAUGGUGGAAUUCCCGGUGUAGCGGUGAAAUGCGUAGAGAUCGGGAGGAACAUCAGUGGCGAAGGCGGCCAUCUGGGACAACACUGACGCUGAGGCACGAAAGCGUGGGGAGCAAACAGGAUUAGAUACCCCCGUAGUCCCUGUCUCUUAUAC